CGUGAACUAAAAUAUUAUCAACCAUCUUACUCUUGCAACAAGGGACAUUUGCUCUGUUUUUCCCGGAUGCAACUAUGCUAAUGGGAGAACUAACUACUAUUCAAUUUGGAGCAUUGCUCCGGUCCUUCAUUUUGAAGCAUGAGGUACUAAAAUCCUUACUCUGCUAUCUGUCUCAUGACCAAGCUGAUACUAAAAUCCUAAUAGUUGGUGAUGAUAGAUCGGACGGUCACGAUUGCACGGUCUAGCUUGGUCAUUGGGUGGAUAGCGUGAGUGAGGAUAUUAGUACCUCACAGUACUAAUACCUC
This 305-nucleotide long non-coding RNA is filed under the name Oryza brachyantha (malo sina). RNAcentral's name for it is "long non-coding RNA (OBRA_LNC002941)". The record is from RNAcentral. Lineage: Eukaryota; Viridiplantae; Streptophyta; Magnoliopsida; Poales; Poaceae.